UGAAUUGACGGGACCGCACAAGCGUGGAUGAUGUGGUUUAAUUCGAUGCAACGCGAAAACCUUACCUACCUUUGACAUGUACGGAAUUCGCCAGAGAUGGCUUAGUGCUCGAAAGAGAACCGUAACACAGGUGCUGCAUGGCUGUCGUCAGCUCGUGUCGUGAGAUGUUGGGUUAAGUCCCGCAACGAGCGCAACCCUUGUCAUUAGUUGCUACAUUUAGUUGGGCACUCUAAUGAGACUGCCGGUGACAAACCGGAGGAAGGUGGGGAUGACGUCAAGUCCUCAUGGCCCUUAUAGGUAGGGCUACACACGUCAUACAAUGGAUGGUACAAAGGGUCGCCAACCCGCGAGGGGGAGCCAAUCCCAUAAAACCAUUCGUAGUCCGGAUCGCAGUCUGCAACUCGACUGCGUGAAGUCGGAAUCGCUAGUAAUCGUGGAUCAGCAUGUCACGGUGAAUACGUUCCCGGGUCUU
This 472-nucleotide ribosomal RNA is filed under the name uncultured Polaromonas sp. RNAcentral describes it as "bacterial SSU rRNA". It matches the Rfam family "Bacterial small subunit ribosomal RNA", at positions 907 to 1382 of the family's 1533-position model. The record is from RNAcentral. Lineage: Bacteria; Pseudomonadati; Pseudomonadota; Betaproteobacteria; Burkholderiales; Comamonadaceae.